AUUGAACGCUGGCGGUAUGCUUAACACAUGCAAGUCGAACGGAAACGAUACUAGCUCGCUAGUAGGCGUCGAGUGGCGGACGGGUGAGUAACGCGUAGGAAUCUGCCUGAUAGUGGGGGAUAGCCCGGAGAAAUUCGGUAUUAAUACCGCAUAAUCUAUUCGUAGUAAAGUGGGGGACUUUCGAGCCUCACGCUAUCAGAUGAGCCUGCGUAAGAUUAGCUUGUUGGUAGGGUAGAAGCCUACCAAGGCGACGAUCUUUAGCUGGUCUGAGAGGAUGAUCAGCCACAUCGGGACUGAGACACGGCCCGAACUCCUACGGGAGGCAGCAGUGGGGAAUAUUGGACAAUGGGGGCAACCCUGAUCCAGCAAUACCGCGUGUGUGAAGAAGGCCUGAGGGUUGUAAAGCACUUUCAAUUGUGAAGAAAAGUUAACGGUUAAUAACCGUUAGCCUUGACGUUAACUUUAGAAGAAGCACCGGCUAACUCCGUGCCAGCAGCCGCGGUAAUACGGAGGGUGCAAGCGUUAAUCGGAAUUACUGGGCGUAAAGCGUGCGUAGGCGGUUUAUUAAGUCAGAUGUGAAAGCCCCGGGCUUAACCUGGGAACUGCAUUUGAAACUGGUAAACUAGAGUAUGGUAGAGGAAAGUGGAAUUUCUGGUGUAGCGGUGAAAUGCGUAGAUAUCAGAAGGAACAUCAAUGGCGAAGGCAGCUUUCUGGACCAAUACUGACGCUGAGGUACGAAAGCGUGGGUAGCAAACAGGAUUAGAUACCCUGGUAGUCCACGCCGUAAACGAUGAUAACUAGCCGUUGGGGGGAUUUACCCUUUAGUGGCGAAGCUAACGCGUUAAGUUAUCCGCCUGGGGAGUACGGCCGCAAGGUUAAAACUCAAAGGAAUUGACGGGGACCCGCACAAGCGGUGGAGCAUGUGGUUUAAUUCGAUGCAACGCGAAGAACCUUACCUGGUCUUGACAUCCUGCGAACUUUCUAGAAAUAGAUUGGUGCCUUCGGGAACGCAGUGACAGGUGCUGCAUGGCUGUCGUCAGCUCGUGUCGUGAGAUGUUGGGUUAAGUCCCGUAACGAGCGCAACCCCUAUCCUUAUUUGCCAGCACAUUAUGGUGGGAACUAUAAGGAGACUGCCGGUGAUAAACCGGAGGAAGGCGGGGACGACGUCAAGUCAUCAUGGCCCUUACGACCAGGGCUACACACGUGCUACAAUGGGAAGGACAAAGAGCCGCGAAGCCGCGAGGUGUAGCUAAUCUCAUAAACCUUUUCGUAGUCCGGAUUGGAGUCUGCAACUCGACUCCAUGAAGUCGGAAUCGCUAGUAAUCGUAGAUCAGAAUGCUACGGUGAAUACGUUCCCGGGUCU
This 1363-nucleotide ribosomal RNA is filed under the name uncultured bacterium. RNAcentral's name for it is "bacterial SSU rRNA". It matches the Rfam family "Bacterial small subunit ribosomal RNA", at positions 28 to 1381 of the family's 1533-position model. The record is from RNAcentral.